This 404-nucleotide ribosomal RNA is filed under the name Actinomycetes bacterium. RNAcentral's name for it is "Actinobacteria bacterium partial 16S ribosomal RNA". It matches the Rfam family "Bacterial small subunit ribosomal RNA", at positions 355 to 776 of the family's 1533-position model. The record is from RNAcentral. Lineage: Bacteria; Bacillati; Actinomycetota; Actinomycetes.
UGGGGAAUAUUGGACAAUGGGCGCAAGCCUGAUCCAGCCAUGCCGCGUGAGUGAUGAAGGCCCUAGGGUUGUAAAGCUCUUUCACCGGUGAAGAUAAUGACGGUAACCUGAGAAGAAGCCCCGGCUAACUUCGUGCCAGCAGCCGCGGUAAUACGAAGGGGGCUAGCGUUGUUCGGAUUUACUGGGCGUAAAGCGCACGUAGGCGGACUUUUAAGUCAGGGGUGAAAUCCCGGGGCUCAACCCCGGAACUGCCUUUGAUACUGGAAGUCUUGAGUAUGGUAGAGGUGAGUGGAAUUCCGAGUGUAGAGGUGAAAUUCGUAGAUAUUCGGGGGAACACCAGUGGCGAAGGCGGCUCACUGGACCAUUACUGACGCUGAGGUGCGAAAGCGGGGGGAGCAAACAGG